GGUUAAGUGACUAAGCGUACACGGUGGAUGCCUAGGCAGUCAGAGGCGAUGAAGGGCGUGCUAAUCUGCGAAAAGCGUCGGUAAGGUGAUAUGAACCGUUAUAACCGGCGAUACCCGAAUGGGGAAACCCAGUGUGUUUCGACACAUUAUCAUGUCAUGAAUACAUAGUGGCAUGAGGCGAACCGGGGGAACUGAAACAUCUAAGUACCCCGAGGAAAAGAAAUCAACCGAGAUUCCCCCAGUAGCGGCGAGCGAACGGGGAGGAGCCCAGAACCUGAAUCGGCUUGUGUGUUAGUGGAAGCGUCUGGAAAGUCGCGCAGUAAAGGGUGAUAGCCCCGUACACUAAAAUGCACAGGUCGUGAGUUCGAUGAGUAGGGCGGGACACGUGACAUCCUGUCUGAAUAUGGGGGGACCAUCCUCCAAGGCUAAAUACUCCUGACUGACCGAUAGUGAACCAGUACCGUGAGGGAAAGGCGAAAAGAACCCCGGCGAGGGGAGUGAAAUAGAACCUGAAACCGUGUACGUACAAGCAGUGGGAGCACCUUCGUGGUGUGACUGCGUACCUUUUGUAUAAUGGGUCAGCGACUUAUAUUUUGUAGCAAGGUUAACCGUAUAGGGGAGCCGUAGGGAAACCGAGUCUUAACUGGGCGACUAGUUGCAAGGUAUAGACCCGAAACCCGGUGAUCUAGCCAUGGGCAGGUUGAAGGUUGGGUAACACUAACUGGAGGACCGAACCGACUAAUGUUGAAAAAUUAGCGGAUGACUUGUGGCUGGGGGUGAAAGGCCAAUCAAACCGGGAGAUAGCUGGUUCUCCCCGAAAGCUAUUUAGGUAGCGCCUCGUGAACUCAUCUUCGGGGGUAGAGCACUGUUUCGGCUAGGGGGCCAUCCCGGCUUACCAAACCGAUGCAAACUCCGAAUACCGAAGAAUGUUAUCACGGGAGACACACGGCGGGUGCUAACGUCCGUCGUGAAGAGGGAAACAACCCAGACCGCCAGCUAAGGUCCCAAAGUCAUGGUUAAGUGGGAAACGAUGUGGGAAGGCAUAGACAGCCAGGAUGUUGGCUUAGAAGCAGCCAUCAUUUAAAGAAAGCGUAAUAGCUCACUGGUCGAGUCGGCCUGCGCGGAAGAUGUAACGGGGCUAAACCAUGCACCGAAGCUGCGGCAGCGACGCUUAGGCGUUGUUGGGUAGGGGAGCGUUCUGUAAGCCGUUGAAGGUGGCCUGUGAGGGUUGCUGGAGGUAUCAGAAGUGCGAAUGCUGACAUAAGUAACGAUAAAGCGGGUGAAAAGCCCGCUCGCCGGAAGACCAAGGGUUCCUGUCCAACGUUAAUCGGGGCAGGGUGAGUCGACCCCUAAGGCGAGGCUGAAAAGCGUAGUCGAUGGGAAACAGGUUAAUAUUCCUGUACUUGGUGUUACUGCGAAGGGGGGACGGAGAAGGCUAGGCUGGCCGGGCGACGGUUGUCCCGGUUUAAGCGUGUAGGGGGUGUGACCUGGUAAAUCCGGUUGCAUAUCAACCCUGAGGCGUGAUGACGAUGCACUACGGUGCAGAAGUAGUUGAUGCCCUGCUUCCAGGAAAAUCCUCUAAGCAUCAGGUAACAUUAAAUCGUACCCCAAACCGACACAGGUGGUCAGGUAGAGAAUACCAAGGCGCUUGAGAGAACUCGGGUGAAGGAACUAGGCAAAAUGGUGCCGUAACUUCGGGAGAAGGCACGCUGGCAUGUAGGUGAAGUCCCUUGCGGAUGGAGCUGAAGCCAGUCGAAGAUACCAGCUGGCUGCAACUGUUUAAUAAAAACACAGCACUGUGCAAACACGAAAGUGGACGUAUACGGUGUGACGCCUGCCCGGUGCUGGAAGGUUAAUUGAUGGGGUCAGCCGCAAGGCGAAGCUCUUGAUCGAAGCCCCAGUAAACGGCGGCCGUAACUAUAACGGUCCUAAGGUAGCGAAAUUCCUUGUCGGGUAAGUUCCGACCUGCACGAAUGGCGUAAUGAUGGCCAGGCUGUCUCCACCCGAGACUCAGUGAAAUUGAACUCGCUGUGAAGAUGCAGUGUACCCGCGGCAAGACGGAAAGACCCCGUGAACCUUUACUAUAGCUUGACACUGAACAUUGAGCCUUGAUGUGUAGGAUAGGUGGGAGGCUUUGAAGCGUGGACGCCAGUCUGCGUGGAGCCAUCCUUGAAAUACCACCCUUUAAUGUUUGAUGUUCUAACUCGGCCCCAUAAUCUGGGGUGAGGACAGUGUCUGGUGGGUAGUUUGACUGGGGCGGUCUCCUCCCAAAGAGUAACGGAGGAGCACGAAGGUUAGCUAAUCACGGUCGGACAUCGUGAGGUUAGUGCAAAGGCAUAAGCUAGCUUGACUGCGAGAGUGACGGCUCGAGCAGGUACGAAAGUAGGUCUUAGUGAUCCGGUGGUUCUGAAUGGAAGGGCCAUCGCUCAACGGAUAAAAGGUACUCCGGGGAUAACAGGCUGAUACCGCCCAAGAGUUCAUAUCGACGGCGGUGUUUGGCACCUCGAUGUCGGCUCAUCACAUCCUGGGGCUGAAGUAGGUCCCAAGGGUAUGGCUGUUCGCCAUUUAAAGUGGUACGCGAGCUGGGUUUAGAACGUCGUGAGACAGUUCGGUCCCUAUCUGCCGUGGGCGUUGGAAGAUUGAGAGGGGUUGCUCCUAGUACGAGAGGACCGGAGUGAACGCACCACUGGUGUUCGGGUUGUCAUGCCAAUGGCAUUGCCCGGUAGCUAAGUGCGGAAAAGAUAAGCGCUGAAAGCAUCUAAGCGCGAAACUUGCCUCAAGAUGAGUCUUCCCUGGGCCUUUAAGGCCCCUGAAGGAACGUUUAAGACUAAGACGUUGAUAGGCUGGGUGUGUAAGUGCAGCGAUGCAUUGAGCUAACCAGUACUAAUGAUCCGUGAGGCUUAACCUU
RNAcentral lists this ribosomal RNA (2908 nucleotides) under Serratia marcescens. Its description in RNAcentral is "23S ribosomal RNA". It matches the Rfam family "Bacterial large subunit ribosomal RNA". Lineage: Bacteria; Pseudomonadati; Pseudomonadota; Gammaproteobacteria; Enterobacterales; Yersiniaceae. The record is from RNAcentral.